GACGAACGCUGGCGGCGCGCCUAACACAUGCAAGUCGAACGAGCGAGAGAGAGCUUGCUUUCUUGAGCGAGUGGCGAACGGGUGAGUAACGCGUGAGGAACCUGCCUCAAAGAGGGGGACAACAGUUGGAAAUGACUGCUAAUACCGCAUAAGCCCACGGCUCGGCAUCGAGCAGAGGGAAAAGGAGCAAUCCGCUUUGAGAUGGCCUCGCGUCCGAUUAGCUAGUUGGUGAGGUAACGGCCCACCAAGGCGACGAUCUGUAGCCGAACUGAGAGGUUGAUCGGCCGCAUUGGGACUGAGACACGGCCCAGACUCCUACGGGAGGCAGCAGUGGGGAAUAUUGCGCAAUGGGGGCAACCCUGACGCAGCAACGCCGCGUGCAGGAAGAAGGUCUUCGGAUUGUAAACUGUUGUCGCAAGGGAAGAAGACAGUGACGGUACCUUGUGAGAAAGUCACGGCUAACUACGUGCCAGCAGCCGCGGUAAUACGUAGGUGACAAGCGUUGUCCGGAUUUACUGGGUGUAAAGGGCGCGUAGGCGGACUGUCAAGUCAGUCGUGAAAUACCGGGGCUUAACCCCGGGGCUGCGAUUGAAACUGACAGCCUUGAGUAUCGGAGAGGAAAGCGGAAUUCCUAGUGUAGCGGUGAAAUGCGUAGAUAUUAGGAGGAACACCAGUGGCGAAGGCGGCUUUCUGGACGACAACUGACGCUGAGGCGCGAAAGUGUGGGGAGCAAACAGGAUUAGAUACCCUGGUAGUCCACA
Molecule: ribosomal RNA, 761 nt
Filed under: uncultured bacterium
Lineage: Bacteria
Description: bacterial SSU rRNA
Rfam family: Bacterial small subunit ribosomal RNA
Source: RNAcentral